This 498-nucleotide ribosomal RNA is filed under the name uncultured bacterium. Its description in RNAcentral is "partial 16S ribosomal RNA". It matches the Rfam family "Bacterial small subunit ribosomal RNA", at positions 30 to 523 of the family's 1533-position model. The record is from RNAcentral.
AUUGAACGCUGGCGGCAUGCCUUACACAUGCAAGUCGAACGGUAACAGGUCUUCGGAUGCUGACGAGUGGCGAACGGGUGAGUAAUACAUCGGAACGUGCCCGAUCGUGGGGGAUAACGCAGCGAAAGCUGUGCUAAUACCGCAUACGAUCUACGGAUGAAAGCGGGGGAUCUUCGGACCUCGCGCGGACGGAGCGGCCGAUGGCAGAUUAGGUAGUUGGGGGGGUAAAGGCUCACCAAGCCUGCGAUCUGUAGCUGGUCUGAGAGGACGACCUGCCACACUGGAGCGGCGAACCGGCCCAGACGCCUACGGGAGGCAGCAGUGGGGAAUUUUGAACAAUGGGCGCAAGCCUGAUCCAGCCAUGCCGCGUGCAGGAUGAAGGCCUUCGGGUUGUAAACUGCUUUUGUACGGAACGAAAAGCCUUUCUCGAAUAAAGAGGGGUCAUGACGGUACCGUAAGAAUAAGCACCGGCUAACUACGUGCCAGCAGCCGCGGUAA